CGAACGCUGGCGGCGUGCCUAAUACAUGCAAGUAGAACGCUGAAGAGAGGAGCUUGCUCUUCUUGGAUGAGUUGCGAACGGGUGAGUAACGCGUAGGUAACCUGCCUGGUAGCGGGGGAUAACUAUUGGAAACGAUAGCUAAUACCGCAUGACAUUGAUUAUCGCAUGAUAAUUGAUUGAAAGGUGCAAUUGCAUCACUACCAGAUGGACCUGCGUUGUAUUAGCUAGUUGGUGAGGUAACGGCUCACCAAGGCGACGAUACAUAGCCGACCUGAGAGGGUGAUCGGCCACACUGGGACUGAGACACGGCCCAGACUCCUACGGGAGGCAGCAGUAGGGAAUCUUCGGCAAUGGGGGGAACCCUGACCGAGCAACGCCGCGUGAGUGAAGAAGGUUUUCGGAUCGUAAAGCUCUGUUGUAAGAGAAGAACGGGUGUGAGAGUGGAAAGUUCACACUGUGACGGUAUCUUACCAGAAAGGGACGGCUAACUAC
Molecule: ribosomal RNA, 492 nt
Filed under: uncultured bacterium
Lineage: Bacteria
Description: bacterial SSU rRNA
Rfam family: Bacterial small subunit ribosomal RNA
Source: RNAcentral